Loxodonta africana (African savanna elephant) is the source of this 82-nucleotide regulatory RNA element. It matches the Rfam family "ctgf/hcs24 CAESAR". From Rfam's summary of the family: The 3' UTR of human connective tissue growth factor/hypertrophic chondrocyte specific 24 (ctgf/hcs24) mRNA has been shown to repress ctgf gene expression. Reference identified a minimal RNA element, predicted to form a stable secondary structure, which acts as a post-transcriptional cis-acting element of structure-anchored repression (CAESAR), probably through direct interactions with as yet unknown nuclear factors. The record is from Rfam. Lineage: Eukaryota; Metazoa; Chordata; Mammalia; Proboscidea; Elephantidae.
AUGGAGACAUGGCAUAAAGCCAGAGAGCGUGAGAGACAUUAACUCAUUAGACUGUAACUUGAACUGAUUCACAUCUCAUUUU